Molecule: ribosomal RNA, 497 nt
Filed under: uncultured bacterium
Lineage: Bacteria
Description: partial 16S ribosomal RNA
Rfam family: Bacterial small subunit ribosomal RNA
Source: RNAcentral
GAUGAACGCUGGCGGCGUGCCUAAUACAUGCAAGUCGAGCGAACAGAUAAGGAGCUUGCUCCUUUGACGUUAGCGGCGGACGGGUGAGUAACACGUGGAUAACCUACCUAUAAGACUGGGAUAACUUCGGGAAACCGGAGCUAAUACCGGAUAACAUAUUGAACCGCAUGGUUCAAUAGUGAAAGGCGGCUUUGCUGUCACUUAUAGAUGGAUCCGCGCCGUAUUAGCUAGUUGGUAAGGUAACGGCUUACCAAGGCAACGAUACGUAGCCGACCGGAGAGGGUGAUCGGCCACACUGGAACUGAGACACGGUCCAGACUCCUACGGGAGGCAGCAGUAGGGAAUCUUCCGCAAUGGGCGAAAGCCUGACGGAGCAACGCCGCGUGAGUGAUGAAGGUCUUCGGAUCGUAAAACUCUGUUAUCAGGGAAGAACAAAUGUGUAAGUAACUGUGCACAUCUUGACGGUACCUGAUCAGAAAGCCACGGCUAACUACGUG